This is a long non-coding RNA of Astatotilapia calliptera (eastern happy), 1658 nucleotides long. The record is from Ensembl. NCBI's taxonomy places the organism in Eukaryota, Metazoa, Chordata, Actinopteri, Cichliformes, Cichlidae.
CUCAUUUCUGAGGUUUUUCUAAUUUACAAUUAAAACAUUUUCAGCUUUUUUCCAACUUCUUCUUCUGUGUAACCUUCAGCUUUUAGCAGUUCAGCACUUUUGUUUUCAGGUUAAAUUCGGAUUUUUUUUUAUCUCAUUCAAAAUUUUUAACUCAAAAUUCAGCAAUUAAUUCAUUUCAGUGCAUACAUUCAGAUUCAAGCAUUCACACUGCAGUUUCUUCAGAAAAUGCACUUUCUAGUUAUUAGUGUGAAUGCUUGAAAAGCAUUCACAGUAUUGUUCUUCUAAUCUUUAUUCUAUUUUAUUCUGUAUUCCGUACGUUUUUUGUACUCCUACUCCUUCAAAACCGUUCAACUUAGAAAAACCAUUCAAACACCAUUAGAUUCCUCUUCUUUUGGACAUGACUGCUUCUAUUUUUCUCAUUUUUAACAUUUAUAUUUUUAAUUUUAUUCAACUUUAUUCAACAAAAAUUUCCCAAAAUUUCCCAUGUAUUUCAAUGGGGAGACCCUUCAAAUUCUCAUUCAACUUAUUCAUUUUUAAACUCUUACUACUUCCACAUACAUUGACAUAGAGCCACCAUUCAAACUUUAAAACGAAGACAAGACAUUCAACUAUUCAACUUGUAUUUAUCUUUUCAAUAUCUAUUAUACUUUUUCUUCAGUUCCAGUUUAAGUUUCAUGAUGUUUUUUCACCCGUUUCAGAGUUUAUAAUGGGUGUGUAUGGGACGGAAUGUUGGGGCUAGAGUGAGACAGCUCAACUGCUAGAGUGAGAGGAGCAAAAAAAUUAAUCUUAAAAUCUUUUUUAAAACUGCUGCUGUGUCCGCAGCGUUUGCUCUACAGGUAUGAUUUUACCCUCAAAACGUAGCCAUCGCUGUCCUCUUUCAUCCAAUGUGUUUACUAUUGUCCUAGGUGUUAUGGUUCUUUCAUAAAUGUCACCAAUGCACAGCCUCCUCCCUCCAACUCUUCCAUAGACUCUAAUGUUAAAAUGGCUCAGAAGGUUCGUUUGAAAAUCAGAAGAGCAUGGUGUCUUUACACUGUCACCACGUCCAUAUAAUAAGCUCCACAGGCAUGAAAACUGAGAAUUAGGUAGACUAGACAUGGCUGUCGCUCACGGUGAAAGAAUUUUGUCAGUACGACAUGUACUUUUCAUUUGGGAACGAUUUGUUUCGGCCUGACUUUUCUGUUCAUUUUAAGCAGCAAAAGUGAGGUGCAUGUCUGUGUGCGUGUGUAUGGAGCCAUUGGGUGCGGUCACUAUAGCAACCAGGCUCACACCUGCCUGCUUAACGAGCUCUGCCUGCCACUGUACCAAGAUUCAUCUUAAACACUUCUCUUUCAACUGCUGCUGUGUCCACAGUGUUACAGCCAUCAUUUUACCCUCAAAACGUCGCCAUCGUUGUUCUCUUUCCAACAUCUUGUCUUUCAAAGCUCAGGCAUUUAAACUUUUUAAACUGUGUGGAUCAAAGUGGAGGGAUCACAUUUUAGUCAUUCAGUGAUUCAAAGAAUAUGACCUUUUAAUAUUCAUUCAGAUGUUUUCUGACUCUAAAUGUUCUUUUCUCAUUUCUUAGGGUUUUCUAAUUUACAAUUAAAACAUUUUCAGCUUUUUUCCAACUUCUUCUUCUGUGUAACCUUCAGCUUUUAGCAGUUCAGCACCUUUGUUUUCAG